GCCACUCGCAGCAGCCCCCUUCCCGAGUGGCUGUGUUGGGGGGGGGCUCUUCCUCCGAAUCGCCCCCCUUGCUCAGGUGAGGGGACCCCCCCCCGCCGGCGAAGCGCUCUCUUUCUUCAGCCCCACCCGCAGCACCCCUUCCCCAACUGGAAGUGCCCCUUUGUUCCCUCCCUCCCGCUCGCUCUCCUUGGCACUCCCGAAGUACACGCUUUCCUUAUCAACCCCCCGCUGCCCUAUCAGACUCUCCAGUCUCAGUCACCCCCCCCCCGCUUUUCCGUCCCAAGUGCUUUCCCCACCUCCCCCCACGCCACAACAUAGCCUCCUUUUAAAUUCUCAUUCACAAUCGUCCUUCCACAAUCCAGUGGAAGAUUGCCUUUAUCCCCCCCCCCCGCACACACUUUCCACUUCGCUGCCCCCCUUCCCGCACCGCGUCCCUCACCCGGCAGCCCUUGCCCCAAAAAUGUCUUUCUCCACAUCGCAACGCUCAGCUUCUCCUUCUCAGCACACGCACCCUCCACUGGACUGCUCUACUUCUCCCCACAUUUCCCCUCUGAUCCCUGUUUUUAAAAAGCACCGUUUCUCAACGGCUUUCCUUUCGGCGUGGAAAUGCCACCCUAAUUAUAAAUCUGUUGCCUGACCCAAGUCGGAGACUCCUUAACGCAUUUUCAUAGCGUGUGAAUUGUUUGGAAAUAGUGGGGUGGGGUGGCGCUUGGAGAACGCAGUUCUCCUUCCUGGAUUUUCUACUGCUGAUUUAAGAUUUCUGCAUAGGUUUUGGAGCCCUUUAAUCGUUGGGUUGGUGGUUAUCUACUGCAUCUAUUUACUUUGGCAGGGCAGCUUUUGGCUCAGGCAGCUCAGCUGGUGGAAAAACAGAAGUUCCCUAAAGAAGACUGGACUAAAAAACAACUGAAGUUGUGAAUCUUAGUUAUCAACAGCGUUUUACCAGUCAGAUAAAAAAAAUUAAAAGUUCUGACAAUAGA
Dermochelys coriacea (leatherback sea turtle) is the source of this 977-nucleotide long non-coding RNA. RefSeq lists it as uncharacterized. The transcript is spliced from 2 exons. The record is from RefSeq and is a predicted model, not a curated record. NCBI's taxonomy places the organism in Eukaryota, Metazoa, Chordata, Testudines, Dermochelyidae.